This 253-nucleotide ribosomal RNA is filed under the name uncultured bacterium. RNAcentral describes it as "partial 16S ribosomal RNA". It matches the Rfam family "Bacterial small subunit ribosomal RNA", at positions 524 to 776 of the family's 1533-position model. The record is from RNAcentral.
UACGGGGGGGCAAGCGUUGUUCGGAAUUACUGGGCGUAAAGGGCUCGUAGGUGGCCAACUAAGUCAGACGUGAAAUCCCUCGGCUUAACCGGGGAACUGCGUCUGAUACUGGAUGGCUUGAGUUCGGGAGAGGGAUGCGGAAUUCCAGGUGUAGCGGUGAAAUGCGUAGAUAUCUGGAGGAACACCGGUGGCGAAGGCGGCAUCCUGGACCGACACUGACGCUGAGGAGCGAAAGCCCAGGGGAGCAAACGGG